This 238-nucleotide non-coding RNA is filed under the name Acidovorax temperans. The record is from RNAcentral. Lineage: Bacteria; Pseudomonadati; Pseudomonadota; Betaproteobacteria; Burkholderiales; Comamonadaceae.
UUCUAAAAUCCGACGGUUGGUGCUCGCAGGCUGGUUCACAGACUGCAGUUCAACGGGAAGCAGGAAGGCAACCCCACCGCCGUGGCAAGCCCCACCUGCGCUGCCCCCGCAACGGUCAGCAGACGGAUCGCCCGAUCCCCUCUCCAUUCACACGCCACUGGGAGCCUUGAACAAGCCCUGGGAAGGCAUUGGAGGGUGCUCUGCCAGCCCGGAUACCGGCCAACACGGUGGUUGCCAG